This 608-nucleotide long non-coding RNA is filed under the name Heterocephalus glaber (naked mole-rat). RNAcentral describes it as "lncRNA (ENSHGLG00000048912.1)". The record is from RNAcentral. Lineage: Eukaryota; Metazoa; Chordata; Mammalia; Rodentia; Bathyergidae.
CGGCGGCGCGGGAGCGGGAGGCAGCGGCAGCCCGGAUCCCCUGAGGACCCCGGGGAUCUGCCACUGCGCCGAGACCCGGCCGAACCCUCCGGGCCCCUGGGCCCGUCCUGGGCAGGCCCGCCCCGGGCCCCGCUCGCGCGCGAGGGGAGCCUCACAGGAGCCAGAGCCCGACCGCCGCGACGCCAGGCGCCGGCCCCGGCAGGAGGUCUGCUGGGAAUCAGCCCAGGUGGGGGCGGCAGACCUACUUCUCCCUGUAGUUGGUGAGUGGCAGGAGCAGCAGGAGCUAGGACCAAGGACAAGUGGGAGCUGGGAGCCCCAGAAUCGUGUCACCACAUUUGUUCCCUGACUUCCACUGGAUGGUUAGGAUGGAACCACCCCCCUUGCAGUCACCAAAGGUACAGUCAUGCCACCUGGGCCCCACUGAUUCCCACUGGAUUCCAGGGCCUGGGCUGGACCUGGCAGUAGGAUUUCUGAAAUGUCCCGGAGAGUCAACUGCGUAGCCAGGGCUGAGAAGACUGAGCUAGCGGCGGAGACAGCCCCUAGACAGCAAAGCCUGGUCCUCACAUUCAAAUGACCCCAGAUGUCAGCAGGGAGGCAGCUGGCUUCCU